This 198-nucleotide ribosomal RNA is filed under the name Aphidius transcaspicus. Its description in RNAcentral is "partial 28S ribosomal RNA". The record is from RNAcentral. Lineage: Eukaryota; Metazoa; Arthropoda; Insecta; Hymenoptera; Braconidae.
UAAAUAUAGAGGACAGACCAGACUGUGUAGCCAUUAAUUUUAUUUUUAUAUAUAUAUUAUUUGUAUGUUAUUGUAUUUAUUAUAAGUUUUGUUGUAUUAAUGAUUUUAAGAUUUUAUUUUUUUUUCAUUUUUAAAAUUAUUAAUAAUAAUAUUAACGACCUCAGAGUAGGUGAGACUACCCCCUAAAAUUUUAAGCAU